GACGAACGCUGGCGGCGUGCUUAACACAUGCAAGUCGAACGGAAAGGCCCUGCUUUUGUGGGGUGCUCGAGUGGCGAACGGGUGAGUAACACGUGAGUAACCCGCCCUUGACUUUGGGAUAACUUCAGGAAACUGGGGCUAAUACCGGAUAGGAGCUCCUGCUGCAUGGUGGGGGUUGGAAAGUUUCGGCGGUUGGGGAUGGACUCGCGGCUUAUCAGCUUGUUGGUGGGGUAGUGGCUUACCAAGGCUUUGACGGGUAGCCGGCCUGAGAGGGUGACCGGCCACAUUGGGACUGAGAUACGGCCCAGACUCCUACGGGAGGCAGCAGUGGGGAAUAUUGCACAAUGGGCGGAAGCCUGAUGCAGCAACGCCGCGUGCGGGAUGACGGCCUUCGGGUUGUAAACCGCUUUCGCCUGUGACGAAGCGUGAGUGACGGUAAUGGGUAAAGAAGCACCGGCUAACUACGUGCCAGCAGCCGCGGUGAUACGUAGGGUGCGAGCGUUGUCCGGAUUUAUUGGGCGUAAAGGGCUCGUAGGUGGUUGAUCGCGUCGGAAGUGUAAUCUUGGGGCUUAACCCUGAGCGUGCUUUCGAUACGGGUUGACUUGAGGAAGGUAGGGGAGAAUGGAAUUCCUGGUGGAGCGGUGGAAUGCGCAGAUAUCAGGAGGAACACCAGUGGCGAAGGCGGUUCUCUGGGCCUUUCCUGACGCUGAGGAGCGAAAGCGUGGGGAGCGAACAGGCUUAGAUACCCUGGUAGUCCACGCUGUAAACGGUGGGUACUAGGUGUGGGGUCCAUUCCACGGGUUCCGUGCCGUAGCUAACGCUUUAAGUACCCCGCCUGGGGAGUACGGCCGCAAGGCUAAAACUCAAAGGAAUUGACGGGGCCCCGCACAAGCGGCGGAGCAUGCGGAUUAAUUCGAUGCAACGCGUAGAACCUUACCUGGGUUUGACAUGGAUCGGGAGUGCUCAGAGAUGGGUGUGCCUCUUUUGGGGUCGGUUCACAGGUGGUGCAUGGCUGUCGUCAGCUCGUGUCGUGAGAUGUUGGGUUAAGUCCCGCAACGAGCGCAACCCUUGUUCACUGUUGCCAGCACGUUAUGGUGGGGACUCAGUGGAGACCGCCGGGGUCAACUCGGAGGAGGGUGGGGAUGACGUCAAGUCAUCAUGCCCCUUAUGUCCAGGGCUUCACGCAUGCUACAAUGGCUGGUACAGAGAGUGGCGAGCCUGUGAGGGUGAGCGAAUCUCGGAAAGCCGGUCUCAGUUCGGAUUGGGGUCUGCAACUCGACCUCAUGAAGUCGGAGUCGCUAGUAAUCGCAGAUCAGCAACGCUGCGGUGAAUACGUUCCCGGG
This 1343-nucleotide ribosomal RNA is filed under the name uncultured bacterium. Its description in RNAcentral is "16S ribosomal RNA". It matches the Rfam family "Bacterial small subunit ribosomal RNA", at positions 28 to 1378 of the family's 1533-position model. The record is from RNAcentral.